This 301-nucleotide ribosomal RNA is filed under the name uncultured bacterium. RNAcentral's name for it is "partial 16S ribosomal RNA". It matches the Rfam family "Bacterial small subunit ribosomal RNA", at positions 509 to 808 of the family's 1533-position model. The record is from RNAcentral.
CAGUCGCACGGUAACACGGAGGGUGCAAGCGUUAAUCGGAAUUACUGGGCGUAAAGCGCACGCAGGCGGUCUGUCAAGUCAGAUGUGAAAUCCCCGGGCUUAACCUGGGAACUGCAUUUGAAACUGGCAGGCUAGAGUCUUGUAGAGGGGGGUAGAAUUCCAGGUGUAGCGGUGAAAUGCGUAGAGAUCUGGAGGAAUACCGGUGGCGAAGGCGGCCCCCUGGACAAAGACUGACGCUCAGGUGCGAAAGCGUGGGGAGCAAACAGGAUUAGAUACCCCAGUAGUCCCUGUCUCUUAUACA